CACUGGGAAGCUUAAGAUGGAUCAAGCAUCAGCCUUUUAAGCUGAAGAAAGGUGCCUCCUACCACCUCCAGUGA
Molecule: transfer RNA, 74 nt
Filed under: Ctenolucius hujeta
Lineage: Eukaryota; Metazoa; Chordata; Actinopteri; Characiformes; Ctenoluciidae
Description: tRNA-Lys
Rfam family: tRNA
About the family: Transfer RNA (tRNA) molecules are approximately 80 nucleotides in length.
Source: RNAcentral